UGCCCUUGCUGUGCGAAGAUCAGAGCAAACCGAAGCAGCAAGUCUCAUCGCCGUCGCAACAAGCAACCGGAGUUGAAGUCGCCGCCGAGCGCCGCCCGCGCGUCUCCGCCUUCAGCCGCAUCGUCCCUGGCUUGGUCGACGUCCAGAGCUGCUGUCCAGCCUCUGUUUCGCCUCUGCUCAGUCCCGUUCAGCUGCCUCCGGCCGCCACCUGACCACCUCUGGCCACCGUCGACCUCGCCGGAGCUCCGCCUCGCCCUCAACCGCCCUUGGCCGCCUCAACCAGCCCCGAAUCUGCCCCGAUCAGCAGCAAUCAGAGGGUUGCAAAAAAUGGGUUAGACAGUGGGUUUUGGCCCGUUUUGGCCAUCUUCCCAGGCCCGGAUGCUCGGCCCGCUUUGAGGAAAGUUGAUCCUCGCGUCGAGCCCGUCGUUUUGAGUGAGUUUUACUCACUAAUGCCUUCUUAGUGUGCUAAUUAUACUUAAAGGUUGAUUAGUGUUAAUUAAGUGUAAUUAGGUUGUUAGAUUAGAAUUGAUUAGUGGUUAUUAGUUAAUUACAUUGUAAGUUAGUUGUUUGGUUAGUGUAAUUAGAUAGAGAAUUGCCUAUAGUAUUUAUUGGAUGCUUCUUGGGAUUUUUACCGUCCCUUAUCGGGUGUUAAUUAAGCAAAUCGGGCCUAGGUGGUAUUUUUAGGAAUUAAAUAUUAAUUUUCGAAAUUAAUUAUUUAAUUAUUUGUUUCCCGAAAAUUCAACUGGGGGUGGCAAAUGACCGGGAUUUAUGCUGAUGAUCGUGCGCAGUCCGUUAUUUUAUUGAGUUUUAUAUUAUGCUAAAUUGAAUUUAUUGUAUUUAUUUAUUUAAUUUUCGCAAUUAAUUAUUUAAUUAAUUAUUUUCCGGAAAUUCAACCGGGAUGGCCGGUGACCAGAAUUUCGUGCUGAUUGUCGUGGAGUGGUCCAUUUAUUUAUUUGAGCCUUAAUUUGUGAGAAACUGAUUUAUUAGUGAUUUUAGGAUUUAUUCCUAAAUUGAAUAAUCUUUGGUUAUUAAUUGAAGAAUAACUGGGCAUCGGUUGAUAAUGCCACUACAUAUUGAAAAUUGCCGAGUGGGGCGGUGAUGCCACUAAAUGUAACAUUGCCGAGUGGGGCCGUGAUGCCACUACAUGUAACAUUGCCGAGUGGGGCCGUGAUGCCACUACAUAUUAAAAGUUGCUGAGUGGGGCAUGAUGCCACUAAAUCUAAGAAAAUUUCUCGAUGGGGCCGUGAUUACCACCUAUAAUUAAGUUGUGUCAUAAGGACCGUGAUUCAUAAUUGGGAAUUGAAUUGGAAUAGUUGAAAUGACCGGAAGUGGUCCUGCUGAUAUAUAAUCGACUAGGUCGAUUGAUCAUUGCCUUGAAUUGAUAUUGUAAAUUGGUUGGAAUAAUGGAAAUGACCGUGAGUAGUCUUGUUGGUAUGUAAUCGACUAGGUCAAUUGAUCGAUGAUUCGAUCUGAGUGUGAUUUGAUGUGAUUCAUUGCCUUGAUUUGAUGUGUGAAUUGAAUGAUUGAAGGGAGAUGAUCGUGAUUGGUCUUCCUGAUGUGAAAUAGACUAAGUCGAUUAGAUCGAUGCUUCGAUCUGUGAUGUGAUUACUUACGUGCCUAUUCAAUCUGUACUAAUAUGCAGGUGGAAUCUGAGGCUAAGGUACGUCCUCUGACUCAUGUUGUGCGUAGGCAGCCCUAAGGUGUAUUAGUUUACUAAUCGAGUCUUAGGAGGUAGAACUUGCUGAGACGUGGUCUCAGUGGUCAUUGAAUAACCAUUUCAGGACCUGGAUGAGGAGCCUAAGGAGCAUGAAUCUGACGAGGAGAUCCUUGUUGAGGAGCCCGAAGAGGAGUACGUGGAGGAGGACCCCGAGUAUGACAUCGAGUACGACUCGGAUGAGGAUCGAAAUCCUAUCCUGUCUUGUCAGACCUUGUUUGCAUGUAAAAAGUUGUAGUUGUGAAUUUUCAGUAUGAGAAAUGUAUGGCCUGCUUUUCUAUCCCAUUGCUUUAUUGUCUGGGGAAUUAUAACCGCUUCCGCAUGUGCAUAUAUAUAAAUGAAAGGGUCGGGGAUACAUAGUCCUGGGAUAUCGCAUUUUUAAAUCGACCAAAAGUAAGGGAUGUGUGCGUGCCUGAGGGUCGGGGUGUGACAUCCCCUUUUUGUGGUAUCAGAGCAAUGGUUAGGUAUUGGAGUGAUAAGGUGCGAUGACCUAUGGGAUAGUAGUAGGAAAGGCCUUUAAAUUCAUGACUGGUGUAUGUCUUUGAUAGCUGAUUGGUAGAAUUGUUUGUUAUGUGUGAAUCGAUUGCUUUUAAUCGUUGUGGAUUCGGAAGGCAGAGUGUUGACUCUGGCCAGCUUAAGCAUAAGAGUGCCACCGCAAGGUGGUACUAGUGUAGCAGCGUUGAUCCUAAGCCUGAUAAGAUUGAUUUGAUGCAAGUGUUUCUUGGGAUCUGGAUGAGCCAGUAAGAUCAUGAUCAAGUUGUUGUUGCUACCUUUGUUGGGGUCCAACCUAAAAGGAUAAUCAGAGAAUAGAAUUCAGUAUCUGAGUCCAGAUUCAGCGAAGCAGAAUUGGAAUUCGAUCAGGGGAAAAGACUGAUGUUGAGGGAAGAGUAUUUUGUUCCACCCAAUAGGAAGGGCGGCAUAGUCAAGUCAGUAUUCAGACAAAUGGAACAUGUUGUUCCGUGGAAGAUAUGUUACAUGGAAGAUGGUAUGGAUUAGUCUCAUGUAUUUUGAGGACAGGAAAUUGUGAUAAGUGUCGCCAAUACGGAUAAUGAACUAUGGGGUAUCUGCAUAAGUAGAAGGAAUCUCGACAACUGUUACAACUGUCACCGUCGAUAAGAUAGUUCAGAAGAAGUGCACCAUAGAACGCACUGUGGAAUAUCUGGGAUAAGUCUCUGGUACAAGAAAUGGUGCAUCCUAGCACUUGACAAGAGGUAGAAUACUCACCAGGUAAGUGCCAAAAGUAUGCAAGAAAGGCAUGGAUUAAUCAUGUGUUUGAGAAUGGCUAAAACGUGCUAUGAUGGUAGUCAGCACGGCUGUUGGGUGAAAGUCUAUUAGUGUGAGUCCAAGGGAGCAUUGAUACCGAUACCGCAGUUAAGACGCCAUUAGGAUGGCAAAAGGAACAAGAACAGAAUCGACCAUGCUUUAUUCAAUGGAAGAAUGUUUUGAGGUGAUUUUAUCAGAAUGGUGCUAGAGAGUAUCAGAAAUGCAAUUUUGGAAUUUCAAUUAUAUGUUAAGGUUGUAGAAAAGAACCACUGACUAGAGUUGUACUUGACUGGCUGUUGGUAUACAACUCUAUCGUCAAGUGUAGAAAGAAUUGGCUCUGGAGCAUUUUGUAGUGAUGAAUUGUUAUAGUGGAGUAAUCCAGUUUAUUCCAGGAGCAGGUAGAAGUGCCGAAUUUUAUUGAGAGUCGAGAAGGGUCCUUGACUUCUUUAAUCUCGUCACUGGUGGCGAUCCGUUUGUUAGACGAAGGACGCCUAGAUUACUUGACGAUUGUCAAAAAUAAGACAGAUUGAAGAAUUGAAAAUUGAGGACUCCUCAGUAGUCCAAGAAUUUCUGGAAGUGUUGCCAGAAGGAUUGUCAGGCCUAUCGUCAGUAAGUGAGAUACAAUUUACGAUCAAGCUAACACCCGGAACAGAACCAUUCUCUAAAGUUUCUUACCGAUUAUUGUUGCCUGAAUUGAUAGAACCAAUUGUGCAAAUGUGAGGAUUGAUGAAUGAAGAAUUCAUGCAUAUCGGUGCAUUACCUAGGGGAAACAUCAGUCUCAUAGUAAGAAAGAAAGAAAGAUGGUUCGUUGCAAGUAUGCAUCAACUAUAGUCGACUUAAUCAAGUGACAAUCAAGGAUAAGUGUUCAUUGUCAAAGAUCGACGAAUUGGGUGACUUGUUAUAAAAAGUGUUGAUGUCUUCAAGUAUCGACUUGAGGACAAAUUAUCGUCAGUUGAGAAUUAGGAAGGAAGUUAUACUGAAGACAACAUUUCACACUUGAUUUUUCCCUUGUGAGAAUAAUGUAAAGCCAUUUGAUUUGACGAACGCUUCAGCCGCCGUCAUAAAUUUGACAAACCGAGUGUUCCAAAAAAAAAAUACCUAGAUCAAUGGUGAUCGUGUGAUGUAACGACAUUCUAAGGUGUUCAUUAAGUGUUGAGGAUUACGAGAGCCCCUAAGAAUGGUCAUGUGAUUACAGAUAAAGGAAUCUUCAUGGACUCAGCCAAGAUUGAAUCAGUUGUUAAUGGACUGAAACCGACAACAAUGUUAGAGAUCAAGAGCCGUGGGGAUUGGACAGAUUACUACAGAAGGUUCGUGAAAGAAUUUUCAGCAUCCGUAUCAUUGCGGGCUUGAACUCUUAAGAAAGAAGAGAAAUUCAUCGGUAUAGACAAGUACGAGGAUAGUUCUAGAGCUUCAGUAAGAUCAGGCUAUCGCACUUGUGCUAAACUUUUCAUUUGGCUUUGGAAAGCAUGAGAUCUUUAGUGAUGUGUCUUGCCGAAGACUGGGUAUGUAUUGAUACAACAUGAGAAGAUUGUUGUAUAACCGUUCCACCAGUUGAGACCCAACAAGUUGAACAUGAAACGGUGUCGUGAAUCAGAAUUUUAGCAGGACUAUAAUAGUGAUAUCGGGUAUCACCUUGGAGAAACGAAAGAGUCAUUAAUGUGUUGGGCCGAGAGUCUUCUAUUGUGCAUAGACUAGCUAAAGUAUAGACUUUACUUGAAAAUGAUUUGAAAUUUGGUUUUCAAAUUUGAGGUAGGCUACCUUUUGAAUUUUAUAGCCGCCCUCAAAAUUGAACCAAAUGUUCAAGUUAGAAUCGGCGCCUAGUUGACAGGCAGAGAUGUUCAGAAAAUCUUAUAAGAGAAUACUGGUAAGAAAGAUAUUGACUUUAAGACUUCUGAGGAUGGAACAUUCGGGUUCCAUGGGGAAUUGAGUGCACUUGACAGUGUAGCACUCAUGGAAAAGACCUUGUUAGAAAUUCACUAUAAGUAUUGCAGUGUUUGGUUAAUCAAUUCAAGAUGGAUCAGAAUCGGCAUUAGCUAAAUUAGUAAUUUGAUAUGAAAAUGGAAACCGCUGAGCAAGUUGUAAGUGUCAGAGGUAUCAGUAAGUGGAAGUUCAGUAAUGCAAACCAGGAGAACUUUGACCAGCACUUAAGAGUCCCCAGUGGGAAUGAAAAUAUAUCACAAUGGAACAUUGUGACGAGCUUACUAAGGAUUCAGGGGAUUACUGAUACCAUUUGAGGAUAAUAGUCGAUCGAUAGAUGGAGUUGGUCAACUUUGGUACGGUACGAAUAGAUCUUGUUUGAGUGUGUGAUAUCAAGAUUUCGGGCUCUGAUUUCGAUUAGAUAAAUUGGGCAUUUCAUCGACGCAAUUACAGUGUUUUUCUCUGAGUUGGCCACUCAUGAGAUAACUAGACUAGCUGGGUGAGUUAUUAAGGACUUUAAGGCAAAUAGACUUGAGAAUUCGACCAAGGAUCAACUUCUCGACCGUGCUCAUCUUUAGAAAUCAUUGCGGCACAGUAUAAAAUCGAUUUGAAAUCAGAGAUAGGUCAGUUCGACUGAGAUGAAUGACCGAUCGUGGGUGACUCCACUAAAUUGGAAAAUUCUCAUCGACCGACACUAAUUUGAUUUUUCUAUCGUUUUGGUACCCUGUGUCCGUAUUUGAAUCUUGGAGAUUUUCACGACAAUCGAGAGUUGCCAAUGUGUCGAGUGGGUUUAUUGUGGUUCGAAGAAAAUCGACCACGGGUCAUUUGUCCUAAAAAGCUCUGAACACUAUCCAGUAGCCUAGGUCACACUAAAAGCGUGUCAAAGUGAAAUUAACCACCAAUCUAAGUUCGAUUUCAGAAAUUGAAGAUUCUAUCUUAUCAGAGUGAGUAUAAUGAAGUGUGUGUGCAUCAGAUAAUUACCGGCAUGGAGUGCCAGGGAUGAAUUAUAUUUCGAAUCUAGAUAAGAGAUUAUAAAUUUCGCAAAGUUUUCAGAGGGUUCUUUUUUAAGCAGUGUAUAGUAGAGGGUACAUAAUUUCAGUGGUGAAAAGAAAGUGAAUAAAGAUGUCAGGCCAGAGUUAGCUCAGUAAUCAGUGUUUGCAGUUAUCAGAUCAGUGUCAGAGUAAAGACUGUUCAGAACUGUCAGAAAUUUUGAAUCGUUCAGGUUCGAAGGUUUAUUAGGGAGUCGAGAAAAAGAGAUCAGAUGUGGAUGACAGAAUGUCUUAGAAGCUCAGUUCAGUUGUUGGUUCAGAAAGAGUAGAUUUUGUGUACAAAGAUGAUCUCCUUAGUCAAAGUGGUCAGACAACACCACAAGACCGAAGGAUUAGCGUGGAAAAAGUGAGACUCGAUGAGACGACAAUAAUCCCACCUUUCGUUCAAGGACUGAUAAAGGUUUAAAUUUCGAGGACGAAAUUUUUAUAAGAGGAGAAGAGUUGUGACAUCCAGAUUUUCGGGUCCUAAUUUCGACUGGAUAAUAGGGCCGCUUUUGUUCGGUUGAAGCCAAGGAUUGUGAAAUUGGGAUGCAAGUGGGGCUACAUUGGUAAGGAAAAAUACCAAUUGGAAUGAUGAGGUGUUGAAUAAAUUAAUGGGGGUCAAUUUGAUUUAAUUCAAGAGGAAUUAAGGCUCAAUUGGAAAGAAAACCUAGCAAAUUUGUAUGCCACACAUACCCCCAUAUUUUAGCUUACCUAAAUGCUUCUAGAAGGGGCAAAAUUGUCUUGGAAUUGUGAGUGGAGGGCAGCUGGUGGUGCCCAUGUGUGGCUGACCUAAGAGAGAGAGAGAGAGUGAGAGAAAAGAGAGAGAAAUUAGGUUUUUCUUCCUCCCCUCUCUCCUCCGUCGAGCAUCUCCAUCUUCUUCCUUUUUUUCUUUGGCUUUCUUCUUCAGCAACAACCGAAGAAGCCGAAGCAGCAGCAGCAGCUUCGCCCGUCGCCACCUCUCACCGCCGCCGUCAGACGCCCGCAAGCACCGGAGCUGCUUGCGCACCCAAGCCCGCCGCCGUGCUGCCGUCUACACAUCUCCGCCCCCCGCUCCUCCCUCUGGUUCGAAUAGAAACGAAAAUAGAAACAGAAGCAGCAACCAUCGUUGGUUGAAGGAGCUGCAGUCGCGCCGGAGCUAUCGUCGCCGUCGUGCCGGAACGCUGCCGCCGUCACUGCUUCGCCCCACCCGCGCGCACCUCUGCUUCUCUCCUCUGUCCUCUUUCGAUUGUUUGGUGCCCUUGCUGUGUGAAGAUCAGAGCAAACCGAAGCAGCAAGUCUCAUCGUCGCCGCAACAAGCAACCAGAGUUGAAGUCGCCGCCGAGCGCCGCGCGCGCGUCUCUGCCUUCAGCCGCGUCGUCCCUAGCUUGGUUGACGUCCAGAGCUAUUGUCCAGCCUCUGUUUCGCCUCUGCUCAGUCCCGUUCAGCUGCCUCCGGCCGCCACCUGACCACCUCCGGCCACCGUUGACCUCGCCGGAGCUCCGCCU
This 7409-nucleotide long non-coding RNA is filed under the name Eucalyptus grandis. RNAcentral describes it as "long non-coding RNA (EGRA_LNC007510)". The record is from RNAcentral. Lineage: Eukaryota; Viridiplantae; Streptophyta; Magnoliopsida; Myrtales; Myrtaceae.